CAGUCGAGCGGACAGAAGGGAGCUUGCUCCCGGAUGUUAGCGGCGGACGGGUGAGUAACACUUGGGUAACCUGCCUGUAAGACUGGGAUAACUCCGGGAAACCGGAGCUAAUACCGGAUAGUUCCUUGAACCGCAUGGUUCAAGGAUGAAAGACGGUUUCGGCUGUCACUUACAGAUGGACCCGCGGCGCAUUAGCUAGUUGGUGGGGUAAUGGCUCACCAAGGCGACGAUGCGUAGCCGACCUGAGAGGGUGAUCGGCCACACUGGGACUGAGACACGGCCCAGACUCCUACGGGAGGCAGCAGUAGGGAAUCUUCCGCAAUGGACGAAAGUCUGACGGAGCAACGCCGCGUGAGUGAUGAAGGUUUUCGGAUCGUAAAGCUCUGUUGUUAGGGAAGAACAAGUGCGAGAGUAACUGCUCGCACCUUGACGGUACCUAACCAGAAAGCCACGGCUAACUACGUGCCAGCAGCCGCGGUAAUACGUAGGUGGCAAGCGUU
RNAcentral lists this ribosomal RNA (500 nucleotides) under Bacillus safensis. RNAcentral's name for it is "bacterial SSU rRNA". It matches the Rfam family "Bacterial small subunit ribosomal RNA", at positions 59 to 542 of the family's 1533-position model. The record is from RNAcentral. Lineage: Bacteria; Bacillati; Bacillota; Bacilli; Caryophanales; Bacillaceae.